GGAAGGUUGGCAGAGUGGUAAUGCACCGGCUUGCUAAGCCGGCGUCCCGCAAGGGGCACACAGGUUCGAUCCCUGUGCCUUCCGCCA
RNAcentral lists this transfer RNA (87 nucleotides) under Hydrogenophaga aromaticivorans. RNAcentral describes it as "tRNA-Ser". It matches the Rfam family "tRNA". Rfam says of the family: Transfer RNA (tRNA) molecules are approximately 80 nucleotides in length. Their secondary structure includes four short double-helical elements and three loops (D, anti-codon, and T loops). The record is from RNAcentral. Lineage: Bacteria; Pseudomonadati; Pseudomonadota; Betaproteobacteria; Burkholderiales; Comamonadaceae.